This 289-nucleotide long non-coding RNA is filed under the name Nicotiana tabacum (common tobacco). RNAcentral describes it as "long non-coding RNA (NTAB_LNC017202)". Lineage: Eukaryota; Viridiplantae; Streptophyta; Magnoliopsida; Solanales; Solanaceae. The record is from RNAcentral.
CUAGCAGUAGCAGCUUCUCCUCCAAUGGCCACCGCUGCAGCCAUCCCCACCACCACCGUGCAAGCCCUAGAAAAUGACAUGGCUACUGACGGCGCCGUCCCUCUCCCCGCCGUCAUGAAAGCACCGAUCCGUCCCGACGUUGUCACCUAUGUCCACUCGAACAUUUCCAAAAACGCCCGUCAACCUUAUGCCGUAUCAAAAAAAGCCGGCCACCAGACCUCAGCCGAGUCAUGGGGUACCGGACGUGCUGUGUCACGUAUUCCCCGUGUUCCCGGUGGUGGUACCCACC